UACGUAGGGGGCGAGCGUUGUCCGGAUUUAUUGGGCGUAAAGCGCGCGCAGGCGGUUGCUUAAGUCUGGUGUGAAAGCUCCCGGCUCACCUGGGAGAGGGCACCGGAGACUGGGCGACUGGAGGGCGGCAGAGGCCGGUGGAAUUCCCGGUGUAGUGGUGAAAUGCGUAGAGAUCGGGAGGAACACCAGUGGCGAAGGCGGCCGGCUGGGCCGUGCCUGACGCUGAGGCGCGAAAGCGUGGGGAGCGAACCGG
RNAcentral lists this ribosomal RNA (253 nucleotides) under uncultured bacterium. Its description in RNAcentral is "partial 16S ribosomal RNA". It matches the Rfam family "Bacterial small subunit ribosomal RNA", at positions 524 to 776 of the family's 1533-position model. The record is from RNAcentral.